AGUGGCAAACGGGUGAGUAACACGUGGGUGACCUACCUUCGAGUGGGGGAUAACGUCCCGAAAGGGACGCUAAUACCGCAUAACAUCCUGUCCUUGAACGGAUGGAGAUCAAAGCCGGGGAUCGCAAGACCUGGCGCUUGGUGAGGGGCCCGCGUCUGAUUAGCUAGUUGGUGAGGUAACGGCCUACCAAGGCGACGAUCAGUAUCCGGCCUGAGAGGGCGGACGGACACACUGGGACUGAGACACGGCCCAGACUCCUACGGGAGGCAGCAGUGGGGAAUUGUUCACAAUGGGCGCAAGCCUGAUGACGCAACGCCGCGUGGAGGAUGAAGGUCUUCGGAUUGUAAACUCCUGUUGCUCGGGACGAAAAGCCUCGGCCUAAUACGCCGAGGUCUGACGGUACCGAGUGAGGAAGCCCCGGCUAACUCUGUGCCAGCAGCCGCGGUAAUACAGAGGGGGCAAGCGUUGUUCGGAAUUACUGGGCGUAAAGGGCGCGUAGGCGGCCCGCUAAGUCGAACGUGAAAUCCCCGAGCUCAACUCGGGAACUGCGUCCGAUACUGGCGGGCUUGAAUCCGGGAGAGGGAUGCGGAAUUCCAGGUGUAGCGGUGAAAUGCGUAGAUAUCUGGAGGAACACCGGUGGCGAAGGCGGCAUCCUGGACCGGCAUUGACGCUGAGGCGCGAAAGCUAGGGGAGCAAACGGGAUUAGAUACCCCGGUAGUCCUAGCCCU
RNAcentral lists this ribosomal RNA (728 nucleotides) under uncultured Acidobacteriota bacterium. RNAcentral describes it as "bacterial SSU rRNA". It matches the Rfam family "Bacterial small subunit ribosomal RNA", at positions 94 to 803 of the family's 1533-position model. Lineage: Bacteria; Pseudomonadati; Acidobacteriota. The record is from RNAcentral.